UUAAACUGGUUCCCUGGGCAUAACUUCAUAUGGUUAACUUUAGCCAAUGAGUUUAAAACAUUGUUUGACAAUAAACUAAAUACAAUCCGAAGUAAGGGUUCCAUGAAAACAUGAUGCUCGCAGUACUAUACCAAAAUAUGGAUUUUAUAGCACAUCUUUAAUAGCGAUUGUUAAACAAAAAUACUGUUGCAUUAUGUUUUAAAAAUACACGGAGUCUUAGACAAUGUUUUUUUGAAAAGCGAUGUCAUAUGUACUAAUAACAAAGCCUUUAACAACGUUUUUUAUAAAAGCGCUGACAUAUGAUCAUAAUAUUUAAAGUGUUUUUGUUAUAAGUGUUGUCAUAGUGUAUUUUAACGUGUUUAUAAAAAAAGCAAUGUCAUAGGAUCUCAUAAAGUUUCUACUUUUUAAAGUCUCACUUUUAAUUUUAUGCAUGUAAUUGGUUUCAUUCACCAAACCUUAGUUUCGUGCAUUUCUUCACCAAACCCUCUAUGCGAACUAAUUUCUUCACUUUAUUUGUGAACUCUCCCAAGCCCUCUCUGCGAAGUAGUUUCUUCACCUAAUAACUGGUUUUCUUUACCAAACCUUAAUUUCGUCGUCGCAUCUCUGUUGGGGAGUCCAUGGGAGUGCGACAUCCGAAAUGAGCUAAACAUCAAGGAUUCUUAAGAGACUUAGACACCACAUCUCAACCCAAAACCUUAAGGCAUUAGGUUCAUGGGUCAUUCUCCUUAUAUAUCCAAUAUAGCCUUCAUUCCUAGUAAAUGUGGGACUAACCACUCAUAAUUGAAUUCCAACAAAUAUCCCCCUCAAUUAUGAGUUCCCACCACUAGACUUGAUCCAAGUCCUUUUUGCUCUUGAUCCACUUGAUCCAAGUGCUUUUUGCUCCCCCACCAAGGCCAAACUAGGCUCUGAUACCACUUGUUGAGGAGUCCAUGGGAGCGCGAUAUCCGGAAUGAGAUAAACAUCAAUGAUUCUUAAGAGACUUAGACACCACAUCUCAACCCAAAACAUUAAGGCAUUAGGUUCAUGGGUCAUUCUCCUUAUAUAUCCAAUAUAGCCUCCAUUCCAGGCAAUGUGGGACUAACCACUCAUAAUUGAAUUCCAACAAAUUCUUGUUUGCGUUUUCAAGCUAAAAAUGAAAACUGAGCAAGAGGAAAAUCAAUGAAAUGAAUAUUGUGUGUUAUUGUUUAUUGAUAUGAGUAUGCUAUUUAUACAUAGCCUUUAUUACAUUGUUUCUGACUAACUUCUUAGUAACUAACUAGUUAGUUAGUUGGUUAUAUACAAUCAACUAACUUGAAUUACACCAAAACUGAAUACGAAGAUCAAUCUUCGUUUUCCAGUCACAAACCAAGAUCAAUCUUGGUUUCCAAAAAUCUCAUGAGUCCCCAAACCUUUCUCCAACAUAAUGCACUAUCCCAAAUUUUAUAAUAAAUAUUUUCUUAAUGAAAUAGAAUUUUAAAUAAUUAAUUUGAUGUUAAAAUUAUUUUAUAAUAUAUGUUGAUAAAUUUUGGGAUAAUUUUUGUUAUAUGGGUGCUUUCUAUGAUUUGCUAGUUUUAUAAAUAUUAUAUUAAAUGAGCGAUAUAAAUAAUAAAUAUUUUAUUUUAUUAUUUGAUAUAAUUUUUAAAAAAUAAUAGUAUUUUAGUGUAAUAUUUUAAAGAAAAAGAUUUUAUGCAAUUUUAUGUCUAUAUAUGUGUAUCCAAUUAAUGUAAUAUUUUUCUAUGCGC
Molecule: long non-coding RNA, 1721 nt
Filed under: Cicer arietinum (chickpea)
Lineage: Eukaryota; Viridiplantae; Streptophyta; Magnoliopsida; Fabales; Fabaceae
Description: long non-coding RNA (CARI_LNC003152)
Source: RNAcentral